RNAcentral lists this ribosomal RNA (253 nucleotides) under uncultured bacterium. RNAcentral's name for it is "partial 16S ribosomal RNA". It matches the Rfam family "Bacterial small subunit ribosomal RNA", at positions 524 to 776 of the family's 1533-position model. The record is from RNAcentral.
GACAGAGGUGCCAAGCGUUAGGCGGAAUCACUGGGCUUAAAGCGUGUGUAGGUGGACUGGUAAGUACUUUGUGAAAUCCCACGGCUCAACCGUGGAACUGCUUGGUAUACUGCUGGUCUUGAGCAACUUAGGGGCGAGCGGAACAAAUGGUGGAGCGGUGAAAUGCGUAGAUAUCAUUUGGAACGCCAAUGGUGAAAACAGCUCGCUGGGAGUUUGCUGACACUGAGACACGAAAGCUAGGGGAGCGAACGGG